This 494-nucleotide ribosomal RNA is filed under the name uncultured bacterium. RNAcentral's name for it is "partial 16S ribosomal RNA". It matches the Rfam family "Bacterial small subunit ribosomal RNA", at positions 28 to 507 of the family's 1533-position model. The record is from RNAcentral.
GACGAACGCUGGCGGCGUGCUUAACACAUGCAAGUCGAACGGUGAAGCGCCUUCCUUUUGGGUGGGUGUGGAUGAGUGGCGAACGGGUGCGUAACACGUGAGUAACCUUCCCCCUUCUUCUGGAUAACCGCAUGAAAGUGCAGCUAAUACGGGAUAUUCUGGUUCUGUCGCAUGAUGGGUCUGUGACAGCUGUUGGUUCGGUGGUGGAUGGGCUCGCGGCCGAUCAGCAUGUUGGUGGGGUGAUGGCCUAGCAGGGCGGUGCCGGGUAGCCGGCCUGAGAGGGUAGACGGCCAGAGGGGGACUGAGACCACGCCGAGACUGAGAUGGGAGGCAGACGUGGGCAGGAGGGAACAGUGGGGGCAAGUCUGAUGCAGGGGCGACGCGGGAGGGAUGGCGGCCUUCGGGUGGUGAAGCUCUUUCGGCAGUGAAGCAGGCCUGCCUCGUUUGUGGGUGGGUUGACGGUAGCUGGAUAAGAAGCGCCGGCUAACUACGUG